GUACCUUUUUCGGUCUUUCGGUUGAGAUCGAGUAUAUGCUUUUAUCAGUUUAAUAUCUAAUACGUGGGCCAAUGGCCCACCCGGUAUUAAAUUUAUUUUUUAAGGGGAAAAGCUUGCCACAGUAGCUGGCAACUGGGGCCUUAAGUGUCGCCCAAGUGUUGCACUACAGCACGGGCCUGGCGCAUCCCAU
Small nuclear RNA from Cornus florida, 190 nucleotides. RefSeq annotates it as U2 spliceosomal RNA. The record is from RefSeq and is a predicted model, not a curated record. Lineage: Eukaryota; Viridiplantae; Streptophyta; Magnoliopsida; Cornales; Cornaceae. The transcript has a single exon.